RNAcentral lists this non-coding RNA (31 nucleotides) under Mus musculus (house mouse). The record is from RNAcentral. Lineage: Eukaryota; Metazoa; Chordata; Mammalia; Rodentia; Muridae.
UGAAAUACUACACAGCCACUAAAAUGAUGGU